This 478-nucleotide ribosomal RNA is filed under the name uncultured bacterium. Its description in RNAcentral is "partial 16S ribosomal RNA". It matches the Rfam family "Bacterial small subunit ribosomal RNA", at positions 28 to 523 of the family's 1533-position model. The record is from RNAcentral.
GACGAACGCUGGCGGCGUGCUUAACACAUGCAAGUCGAGCGAUGAAGUUCCUUCGGGAAUGGAUUAGCGGCGGACGGGUGAGUAACACGUGGGUAACCUGCCUCAUAGAGGGGAAUAGCCUUUCGAAAGGAAGAGUAAUACCGCAUAAGAUUGGAGUAUCGCAUGAUACAGCAAUUAAAGGAGUAAUCCGCUAUGAGAUGGACCCGCGUCGCAUUAGCUAGUUGGUGAGGAAACUGCUCACCAAGGCGACGAUGCGUAGCCGACCUUAGAGGGUGAUCGGCCCCAAUGGGACUGAGACACGGCCCAGACUCCUACGGGAGGCAGCAGUGGGGAAUAUUGCACAAUGGGGGAAACCCUGAUGCAGCAACGCCGCGUGAGUGAUGACGGUCUUCGGAUUGUAAAACUCUGUCUUCAGGGACGAUAAUGACGGUACCUGAGGAGGAAGCCACGGCUAACUACGUGCCAGCCGCCGCCGUAA